AUGCUACGUCUGCUGCUCAGAGUCUCCACCACAGGCUCUAUCCUGUCCCUUCUCUGUGUCACGGCACCAGACACAGGGUGCACUUGUCCACACCCUGGCCCUGCUGGGAAGAGGUCACUGGACUCCCCCCCGCAGCACCAUGGCUUCUACAGCGUCGUUCACGUUAGCAGGGUCAUCGGCCUCCACUCCCUGGCGACCGCAGCCCAGGCUCCUGCUGCUGCUUCAGAGCUGCGCGAGCUACCUGGAGAACCUGACCUUGGAGCAGAUAGUGCCCCCGGCCCGGGCUGCAGGGCCCUGCAUGUCUGUGGGACUCACAGUACGACGCUUCUGGAACAGUCUGCUGAGGCUGGGCAUGCUCAGCCAGCAGGCAGCCCUCCAGGUGCGUCCACCACUCCCCUUCCCCAACUGCGGUCACCCUCACGCCAGCCCAUCAGCCCCAGCUGCCUUGUCCACCAGGUGAGCAGUGUGCCCGCUGCUGGCUCCACUCUGGAAGGUAGCAAUGCAGGCCUUGAGGGUCACAUUUGGGCCGCCCAGCUCUGUAGUUUACACUGUGGGACUUUGGAAAACUCCUACCCACUCUGAACUUAAGUUUGUUCAUCUGUGCAGUGGGAGUGAUGACAGUCCUUACCUCCCAGGGCAUGUUUGAGUAAUGGGGAUUAUGAAAGUGCUAGUCACUCAGUCAUUUCUGGCUCUCUGUGACCCCAUAGAGUGUAGCCCGCCAGGCUCCUCUCUCCAUGGGAAUUCUGUAGGCAAGAAUACUGGAGUGGGUAGCCAUUCCCUUCUCCAGGGGAAUUUUCCAGACCCAGGGAUGGAACCUGGGUCUCCCACAUUGCAGGCAGAUUCUUUACCAUCCGAGUCCCCAGGGAAGCCCCGAUGGGGUUUACAAUGAGCCCCGUUUGUCUUGGGUCACCCCAUAACCCUCACAACCACCUGUGGGCAGGACCACUGUCACCAUAACGGGAAGGAGACCAAAACCGAGAGUGGCUUCAGUGACACGCAAGCACAUGGGUCCACCCAGCAAGGGCCCCGCGCCCGGCAGCUGUGUCUGUCACCGUGUCACUCCCAGUGCCAGGCAGGUACCCGCAUCGACCUGGGCUUAGUAACGGAGGCAGCAGAGAGGAGAAGGCGCGCUCCCAUUCACGCUGCUGCCAGAUACCGUCUGAGGGGCUGAGCAUUGGGCGAGGCUGCUGUCACAGAAAUCCCCGGGGGUCACCACCCAGGCCUGUCUCCCUUACCUGCCUUCCCUUUCUUUCCCUGACCACAGAAAAGGGCAAACCAAGGAGAAACCCUCACCUCCAAGCCCACAGCCAAGGGCGAGCCAGCCGGGAGCCCGGAACUGGGGACCGCCCAGCUCGUCAAGCCACCCUCCCCAGUGCCAGGCCUGCCCCAGGCCUGCCCAGAGCGGGACAGCCUCCCCAUCAGCGUCUCGCUGCGGUGUCCAGGCCGGACGGCCGAGAACACCAAGAGUGUCCACUCCCAGACCAUAGAGACGGCCCUGGUGCCCUGUGACGCGUGCACCAGCGUCCAGAGCAGCCUGCGGGAGGUGGGCAAGGUGGUCGUCAACCUGUGUCAGAGCCAGAACCUGCCCUCGUCGCUGGGCCGCUUCC
Molecule: long non-coding RNA, 1607 nt
Organism: Bos grunniens (domestic yak)
Lineage: Eukaryota; Metazoa; Chordata; Mammalia; Artiodactyla; Bovidae
Source: Ensembl